This 109-nucleotide non-coding RNA is filed under the name uncultured Succiniclasticum sp. RNAcentral's name for it is "SAM riboswitch (S box leader)". It matches the Rfam family "SAM riboswitch aptamer (S box leader)". From Rfam's summary of the family: The SAM riboswitch is found upstream of a number of genes which code for proteins involved in methionine or cysteine biosynthesis in Gram-positive bacteria. The record is from RNAcentral. Lineage: Bacteria; Bacillati; Bacillota; Negativicutes; Acidaminococcales; Acidaminococcaceae.
CUCAUCACGAGCGGUGGAGGGAACUGGCCCGGUGAAGCUGCAGCAACCAUUACGAGAGGGUAGCCUCUGGCAAACGGUGCUAAAUCCUUACGAGAAAUCGCAAGAUGAG